AGUGCCUCCCGGAAACCAUGGUAGGAACUUCCGGCCAGAAGCGAAAACGCUGCAAAAGUUGUGGAGGCCAAAAGUCUUCACAGGCAAGCCAGAAAAGGAGGUUCUCUUCACUGUAUUCUGUUCGGAGGAACUCUCUGAAAAGGUUUCUUCCUGCUGGGGUCUUCAUCAUCUUGUCAAAAUUUUGAGACCAGGACAAGACUUCAUCUGCAGUGGGGUUUUGGCUGCAGAGACAGAACGGGGCCAUUAUCAAGGGAAACUUUGACCUAUGAAUGUUAGCGCAGGUACCACGGUGAGGAUGGACAGAACGUAGCAAAAGGGAAGAAGUUAAGGACGAGGAGCCUGAUGAGCGGCCAAUGUACAACCGCAAGUGAGACUAGAUAGGAUGAUUUCCUUGAGAAUGUGGACUAACUGAAGAAAAGAGGACCCCACAGAAAUUGGAAAGGAGUCUUUACUCAGAAAAAGGACACUUCAUAGAAAAUGUAUGAUUUCAUAGUGAAAUAAGUUCUCCUCCACCCGUUUCCAGGGAUAGCGGCAGGUUUAUUGGUGCAGAACUAUGGAGAGAAAAGUGGUGUGGCCCGAUGUGUUCUGGGAGGGGGGACUGUAGCUGAUUGUUACUGAGACAUGCACGACGCGGACUAGAGCCCUGUGGGGAGGUAGCAUCGCAGGGUUAGAGAAGUCAAAGCUUUCACUGUGGUGUAGCUGUGUGGAGGGAUUCAGAAGGAGCAGCACAAUUUGUUAGGUCUCUGCGUGUAGGUGCUGCAAAUGUGUCCACAGCUCGAGGCAGCCCAGGAAACCUCUGUCCUCUAUGCUGCUCUACACUGAGGUCAGAUAUGAGUUUUAGAGAAGAUCCAUUAAUUUCUCAAAGUAUCCUUGGGUAAGAGUGUUACUCUAAUUUGAUGUAUUUCCAGUAAUUAUGGGAAAGUGGGUGGGUGAGGAAGAUUCACCACUGACCAUACUCUGUGAAAUUCCCUAUAUAUUUACAUAAAAUAUGCAUUUUUUUGCAAAUUCUAGAAAGAUCUUAUUUAAAUAGGAGAUUAACACUCAUACUGCCAAGUCUUAUUGAGCUUGCAUUUCCACACAGUGCCCCAUAGAGUAUGCCAUACAAAAUGCAAGUAUACCUCAUUUCAUUCAACAUCUUUGAAAAAUUUGUUUCCCAUGUGCCUUUAUUGUAGAGCAACAAAUUUGGAAUCCACAGGCAUGAUUCACAAGUUUCUGAACAUGAAUUCUGGCUCUUAUAUCUGUUUCUGUGAUGUUUACAAACAUUCCAAAUGCUACCAUAUUAGAGCAUUCAUUAUGAAAUAUUGGGUUGUGUUUACAUCUUUCAUUUCUACAGAUGGUAAAAUAUGGACACACAUUUGGACUAAAACUACUUAUAACAGACAUUCAGUAAAUGCUUAGUUUAGUUCACCACUUGUGCGAUCUCUUGAUUUAAUAUUGAACGUAAUCUUGUUCUGUAGAAAGAAAUUGAACUUUAGCAAUGGACACAUUGUCCUUUUAAUUACUGUCCUUUAUUAAUAUUCUUAAAAAAUGGGUUUCAAGGUUUUGAUUAUCAAGAACCACUGAAAAUGCCAUUUUAAGAUGAAGAGAAAUAGUGAAAAUAGAUGUGAAAUUGAUACCAGACUGUUUGCUUCUCUUGAUACUAAUGUCUGUCUCCAAUUUCACUUGGUCCUGCUCUAAGUAAUAUAGCUUUUUAAAAAGAUAAUAAAUUACUGGAAAUAUUUGCUCUAGAUUAGUAUAUACAUGUUAUAUGUACUUGACAUGUAAUAUGUACUUUUUGACUUAGAGAAGUCAAAGCCUUCAGUGUAGAUAAGCCCUAAAAGAAAAACAUCAAACAUAACAGUUGUGAGGAGUCACACAGAGACACGUGCUUUUCACUUUUUACAUAACAUUUUAAACUAACAUUUCUACUUUUUAAAUGAUUAAA
Long non-coding RNA from Cynocephalus volans (Philippine flying lemur), 1924 nucleotides. RefSeq lists it as uncharacterized. NCBI's taxonomy places the organism in Eukaryota, Metazoa, Chordata, Mammalia, Dermoptera, Cynocephalidae. The transcript is spliced from 3 exons. The record is from RefSeq and is a predicted model, not a curated record.